This 522-nucleotide ribosomal RNA is filed under the name uncultured Glomus. RNAcentral describes it as "SSU rRNA". It matches the Rfam family "Eukaryotic small subunit ribosomal RNA", at positions 569 to 1092 of the family's 1831-position model. Lineage: Eukaryota; Fungi; Glomeromycota; Glomeromycetes; Glomerales; Glomeraceae. The record is from RNAcentral.
AGCAGCCGCGGUAAUUCCAGCUCCAAUAGCGUAUAUUAAAGUUGUUGCAGUUAAAAAGCUCGUAGUUGAAUUUCGGGAUUAGUAAGUUGGUCGUGCCUCCGGUAUGUACUGGCUCUACUGGUUCCUCCUUCUUGAAGAACUGUAAUGUCAUUAAUUUGGUGUUGCAGGGAAACAGGACUGUUACUUUGAAAAAAUUAGAGUGUUUAAAGCAGGCUAACGCUUGAAUACAUUAGCAUGGAAUAAUGAAAUAGGACGUUUGAUCCUAUUUUGUUGGUUUCUAGGAUUGACGUAAUGAUUAAUAGGGAUAGUUGGGGGCAUUAGUAUUCAAUUGUCAGAGGUGAAAUUCUUGGAUUUAUUGAAGACUAACUACUGCGAAAGCAUUUGCCAAGGAUGUUUUCAUUAAUCAAGAACGAAAGUUAGGGGAUCGAAGACGAUCAGAUACCGUCGUAGUCUUAACCAUAAACUAUGCCGACUAGGGAUCGGAUGAUGUUAAUUUUUUAAUGACUCAUUCGGCGCCUUACG